Molecule: ribosomal RNA, 584 nt
Filed under: uncultured bacterium
Lineage: Bacteria
Description: partial 16S ribosomal RNA
Rfam family: Bacterial small subunit ribosomal RNA
Source: RNAcentral
UGGGGAAUUUUGGACAAUGGGCGAAAGCCUGAUCCAGCAAUGCCGCGUGUGUGAAGAAGGCCUUCGGGUUGUAAAGCACUUUUGUCCGGAAAGAAAUCCUUGGCUCUAAUACAGUCGGGGGAUGACGGUACCGGAAGAAUAAGCACCGGCUAACUACGUGCCAGCAGCCGCGGUAAUACGUAGGGUGCAAGCGUUAAUCGGAAUUACUGGGCGUAAAGCGUGCGCAGGCGGUUUGCUAAGACCGAUGUGAAAUCCCCGGGCUCAACCUGGGAACUGCAUUGGUGACUGGCAGGCUAGAGUAUGGCAGAGGGGGGUAGAAUUCCGCGUGUAGCAGUGAAAUGCGUAGAGAUGUGGAGGAAUACCGAUGGCGAAGGCAGCCCCCUGGGCCAAUACUGACGCUCAUGCACGAAAGCGUGGGGAGCAAACAGGAUUAGAUACCCUGGUAGUCCACGCCCUAAACGAUGUCAACUAGUUGUUGGGGAUUCAUUCCUUAGUAACGUAGCUAACGCGUGAAGUUGACCGCCUGGGGAGUAUGGUCGCAAGAUUAAAACUUAAAGGAAUUGACGGGGUCAUAGCUGUUUCCU